RNAcentral lists this ribosomal RNA (253 nucleotides) under uncultured bacterium. Its description in RNAcentral is "partial 16S ribosomal RNA". It matches the Rfam family "Bacterial small subunit ribosomal RNA", at positions 524 to 776 of the family's 1533-position model. The record is from RNAcentral.
CACGUAGGGUGCGAGCGUUGUCCGGAAUUACUGGGCGUAAAGGGCGUGUAGGCGGUUAGUUAAGUCUGGCGUGAAAGCUCUCGGCUAAACCGGGAGAGGUCGUUGGAUACUGGCUGACUAGAGGACGGUAGAGGCGUGUGGAAUUCCGGGUGUAGUGGUGAAAUGCGUAGAGAUCCGGAGGAACACCAGUGGCGAAGGCGACACGCUGGGCCGUACCUGACGCUAAAGCGCGACAGCAUGGGGAGCAAACGGG